RNAcentral lists this long non-coding RNA (350 nucleotides) under Gallus gallus (chicken). The record is from RNAcentral. Lineage: Eukaryota; Metazoa; Chordata; Aves; Galliformes; Phasianidae.
GGGAAGUAUCUCUAAUUGGAGACUGUCUUCUUUGGAAAGUUCAGCAAAGCCCUUAUCCUUUGAAAGGGAUAUUCAAACAAACAAACAAAAACUGAAAAAAAAAACCAUGAAACCAUUUGAAGGUACAGAAGAUUUGUGAAGUACCGACUUUUAGAAAGAGACUCUGGUAAUUUUCAAAGGUAAAGAAUAAAAGAAUGACAUUCUCCCCUUUUAAAAACUCCUGAACAUGCCAUUUUUCCAAAAGAUAUGAACUGCGAGCACCAUCCAGUGGCAAUGGAAGUACCAAUGAAAUUCUGGAACAUCAGGAAAAACUACAGUCCAGCAAUAAUACUAUAAUCUCUGUCCUGCAG